Pelobates cultripes (western spadefoot toad) is the source of this 505-nucleotide non-coding RNA. NCBI's taxonomy places the organism in Eukaryota, Metazoa, Chordata, Amphibia, Anura, Pelobatidae. The record is from the annotation of a GenBank genome assembly.
CCACGGCUGCGGUGACAAAGGACGCUCCAGGGAAAGAUUCACCUCCGGUAAGUUCCCAGCUUUCUGUUCCGCUAACUACUAUUCAGAUUGCAGGCCGUAUUUCUCAUUUUUUCCACAGCUGGGCAGGUCUCUCCAUGGACGCCUGGAUCCUGCAGAUGGUAUGCGUCCAAUCACACCCACCCCCAUUUCGGAUGGCAGGCGCGGAUGCCAGACUGGUUGACUCAGAACUGGAUGAUCUAUGGUAUAAGGGUGCCAUUCAGACAGCCCCGAAUCUCGACGGAUUCUUCAGCAACAUCUUGUUCGGUUAUUAAUCUAAGACAGCUAAAUACCCACGUCAUAUACAGGCAUUUCAAGAUGGAAGGCAUUCAUCUCCUUCAAGACCUACUUCGGGACGGAGACUGGUUUACGCAGCUGGACCUGAAAGACGACCACCAAGAUCCACUUGUUUGCCGUCUCCUUUGUGGCAUACGACUUUGGCGUCCUCCAGGACCCAAAUACACACGGU